RNAcentral lists this ribosomal RNA (317 nucleotides) under uncultured Pseudomonas sp. RNAcentral's name for it is "bacterial SSU rRNA". It matches the Rfam family "Bacterial small subunit ribosomal RNA", at positions 1066 to 1382 of the family's 1533-position model. The record is from RNAcentral. Lineage: Bacteria; Pseudomonadati; Pseudomonadota; Gammaproteobacteria; Pseudomonadales; Pseudomonadaceae.
CGUGAGAUGUUGGGUUAAGUCCGUAACGAGCGCAACCCUUGUCCUUAGUUACCAGCACGUUAUGGUGGGCGACUCUAAGGAGACUGCCGGUGACAAACCGGAGGAAGGUGGGGAUGACGUCAAGUCAUCAUGGCCCUUACGGCCUGGGCUACACACGUGCUACAAUGGUCGGUACAAAGGGUUGCCAAGCCGCGAGGUGGAGCUAAUCCCAUAAAACCGAUCGUAGUCCGGAUCGCAGUCUGCAACUCGACUGCGUGAAGUCGGAAUCGCUAGUAAUCGUGAAUCAGAAUGUCACGGUGAAUACGUUCCCGGGCCUU